AUUGAACGCUGGAGGUAUGCUUAACACAUGCAAGUCGAACGCGAACGUUCCUUCGGGAACAAGUAGAGUGGCGGACGGGUGAGUAACGCGUAGGAAUCUACCUAAGUGUGGGGGAUAACAUGGAGAAAUUCAUGCUAAUACCGCAUACGCCCUGCGGGGUAAAGAGGGCCUCUUCUUGAAAGCUCUUGCAUUUAGAUGAGCCUGCGUCGGAUUAGCUAGUUGGUUGGGGUAAUGGCCCUCCAAGGCGACGAUCCGUAGCUGGUCUGAGAGGAUGAUCAGCCACACUGGGACUGAGACACGGCCCAGACUCCUACGGGAGGCAGCAGUGGGGAAUAUUGGACAAUGGGCGCAAGCCUGAUCCAGCAAUACCUCGUGUGUGAAGAAGGCCCUAGGGUUGUAAAGCACUUUCAAUUGGGACGAAGAUUGUAAAUUUAAUACGUUUAUAAUUUGACGGUACCUUUAGAAGAAGCACCGGCUAGCUCCG
Molecule: ribosomal RNA, 484 nt
Filed under: uncultured Gammaproteobacteria bacterium
Lineage: Bacteria; Pseudomonadati; Pseudomonadota; Gammaproteobacteria
Description: bacterial SSU rRNA
Rfam family: Bacterial small subunit ribosomal RNA
Source: RNAcentral